CCUACGGGUGGCAGCAGUGAGGAAUAUUUGACAAUGGGCGCGAGCCUGAACCAGCCAAGUAGCGUGAAGGAUGACUGCCCUACGGGUUGUAAACUUCUUUUAUAAAGGAAUAAAGUGAGGCACGUGUGCCUUUUUGUAUGUACUUUAUGAAUAAGGAUCGGCUAACUCCGUGCCAGCAGCCGCGGUAAUACGGAGGAUCCGAGCGUUAUCCGGAUUUAUUGGGUGUAAAGGGAGCGUAGAUGGGUUGUUAAGUCAGUUGUGAAAGUUUGCGGCUCAACCGUAAAAGUGCAAAUGAUACUGGCAGCCUUGAGUACAGUAGAGGGAGGCGGAAUUCGUGGUGUAGCGGUGAAAUGCUUAGAUAUCACGAAGAACUCCGAUGGCGAAGGCAGCCUACUAAACAGCCACUGACAUUGAUGCUCGAAAGUGUGGGUAGCAAACAGGAUUAGAUACCCCAGUAGUC
Molecule: ribosomal RNA, 460 nt
Filed under: uncultured bacterium
Lineage: Bacteria
Description: partial 16S ribosomal RNA
Rfam family: Bacterial small subunit ribosomal RNA
Source: RNAcentral